CUGGUACUGAAGCUGUAACUACAGUAACUGGAUACAGAGGAGGAUCAGUUCAGAUUAAAUGUCCCUAUGAAUCUGGAUAUGAAGAUAACAACAAAUAUCUCUGCAGAGGUAAAUGUUCCUAUGGGGUGAAUAAAGACAUUCCUGUUAAAUCUGGAUCUCCUGCUGAAGACCCCAGAUUUUCUCUGUAUGAUGACAAAACAGCCCGAGUCUUCACCGUCAGCAUCACUGAUCUGAGACCUGAGUAUGGAAACACUUACUGGUGUGCGAUAGAGUGGACAUGGCCUUUGCCUGAUAUUUACACAGAGAUUCUACUGCAGGUUAAAACAGUUGAUCCCACCAUCAGUUCUGUCUCACACACCACACAUUUCACUCCAACCAUGGGGACACGACACAUUCAGUAACAGAUAAGUUACUAACUUAUACUCUCCACAAAACCUCCAUCACUCCCUCAUCUCAGG
Long non-coding RNA from Tachysurus vachellii, 458 nucleotides. RefSeq lists it as uncharacterized. The transcript is spliced from 3 exons. The record is from RefSeq and is a predicted model, not a curated record. Lineage: Eukaryota; Metazoa; Chordata; Actinopteri; Siluriformes; Bagridae.